This 366-nucleotide long non-coding RNA is filed under the name Capsella grandiflora. Its description in RNAcentral is "long non-coding RNA (CGRA_LNC001792)". Lineage: Eukaryota; Viridiplantae; Streptophyta; Magnoliopsida; Brassicales; Brassicaceae. The record is from RNAcentral.
AAGCUUUCCCAUGCUCAAACCUCCAAGUUUUGGGGUAAUCCCUCCCCUUUAGAGAUUAUAUAAAACUAUCCAGCUUUAUAUUUCUAUGAACAAUUCCACAAUCACACAAAUCUGCGACACCGACCAUUACGACUCUGACUAGAUCAUAAAAAACACUUGAAAGACCGUAAAAAAAAGUCUAAAAUUAUGAAUGUUUAAAUAUAUUAAAAGUUUAAAAUAAUAUAAAUGGGUUAUAUUGCAUGAAUGUUUAAAUAUACUAAAAAUGUUCACGGUCAUAAAAUUUCGUUAUACAAGUAUACCGUGAUUUAGGAAUAGUUUUAUAUUUUCUGAAUUAUAAUAUUGCAAGUAAAAUAUGAACAAAUACAU